UAACUGAAGAGUUUGAUCAUGGCUCAGAUUGAACGCUGGCGGCAGGCUUAACACAUGCAAGUCGAGCGGGGGAAGGUAGCUUGCUA
This 86-nucleotide ribosomal RNA is filed under the name Acinetobacter baumannii. RNAcentral's name for it is "partial 16S ribosomal RNA". It matches the Rfam family "Bacterial small subunit ribosomal RNA", at positions 1 to 85 of the family's 1533-position model. Lineage: Bacteria; Pseudomonadati; Pseudomonadota; Gammaproteobacteria; Moraxellales; Moraxellaceae. The record is from RNAcentral. RNAcentral also lists the same sequence under 1 other name.